CCGGAAGCAGAGAGAGCUCAGGGAGGAGGGGCGGAAGUGCAUCUUCCAGGCCACGCCCCAUAAUCACCUUCUUCAACCAGGCCUCACCUCCCAGCAUCACCUUCGGCUCUGACCUCCUCAGUGGACGAGUUGCCCACCUAGGAGUACAUGAGGCUCUGUGGGGCGGGGUUCCAGAAAUAAACGAAUAUAAAGGAGGAAGCCGGGUGUGGUGGCACACGCCUGUAAUCCCAGCACUCGGGAGGCUGAGGCAAGAGUUCGAGAUCAGCCUGGGAUACAUAGUGAGUUCAGAGCCAGCCUGAACUACAAAGGGAGACGCUGCCUC
RNAcentral lists this long non-coding RNA (322 nucleotides) under Fukomys damarensis (Damara mole-rat). RNAcentral's name for it is "lncRNA (ENSFDAG00000033331.1)". The record is from RNAcentral. Lineage: Eukaryota; Metazoa; Chordata; Mammalia; Rodentia; Bathyergidae.